Molecule: RNA transcript, 2971 nt
Organism: Mobula hypostoma (lesser devil ray)
Lineage: Eukaryota; Metazoa; Chordata; Chondrichthyes; Myliobatiformes; Myliobatidae
Exons: 2
Source: RefSeq, a predicted model, not a curated record
UGGUGCCUUUAUUGUAUUUGUUUCUGCUAACCCAUCACCAAGAAAUACUUGUAAAGUGUAAUCAUUUAAUCGCAUAUGGUGUACUGUCUGUUAUUUGGCGGUGUGGGGUACAUCACACAGCAUCCACACAAACUUGAUUACCCAGUUUGGCGGGGCUGAAGGCUGCUCCCCCUAGAUGAAAGCGAGCUGAGCGAGCCUGAGGUUUGCCAGGAGGUUACAUUGUGAGGCUCGACCGGGAUUUGAUUCUGUUCGAUGCUGUGUGAUCGCCCUGCUUAAAUUAUGCAUGCUGGAGGUGGGGGGGCGGAAAGUUGGUGUACCUCUGUGAAAUUGCUGGUUAUUACUGCAUGCAUGUUGGGUGGGGUGGCUGUUGGUACCCUGGAGGUCUCUGUUCGAGUUCAGACUAGCGCUGACGAAAUGGUGAUGGGACUGCCAGUGUCUUGUUGGUGCCCCAGGUGAGGCGGGACCAUGGGCUGUCCAUACUGUUAGGAGAGAGAGGAAAGAAUGGUCUGAUUCGGAGGUAGUGUCUGCGAAUAAAUGUUCCAGCUAUGGCAGGCUCCGCCCGGUUUUUGGAAUAAUGUCCACCCCUAAAGGGGCGGAGGCGUGGGUGGAACUGACCUCUCAGUUGUUAGGUGAGUGACAGUGCUCAGCUGAGGGAAAGCAACAGCGAUUGGUUGGAAGUUUGAAUAGGCAGGCUGCUGAUGUUGUUAGAACUGUCAGGUUCAAUGACCCUAUAGUGACAGCUGCCAGUUAUCGGCAAGCGCGGGAAAAGGCCUUCGGUUCUACUGGGGGCAAACUGCAGCUCGGGGUGGAGUUUCCAAAUGUGAGUCGGGAGAAUGGGGAAAAGCUUUCAGAGUAUUUCUUUUGGCUAGAGAAACAGCUGAACUGGUUGCAGUGCAGGGGGGUUAUUCAGCUGAUCAGAGAGGUGUCAGGAAACUCAGAGGAGAUUCAGCGGAGGAACUACCUGGUGUCGCUUUGGGGAACACGUUUCCAGCAAUGUACCAAGGAACUCCUGAGAGGAAAAGACCCUAAUCCUGAAAGCUUAGUGGGACCGCAGUCCAGUGGGUUGUUAAGGAGGGAUGAAAGCUAUUCUAAAGUCAUACUCGACACCGAGUCGCCAGUCGAGUUGCUGUACAACCAGUUUCUGAAGCACUUACCCUUGAUAACCUUCAGGGCACUGGAGAUUUGAGGUACCAGUGCUGGUGAUUAUCCAGACAACCGUUAUUGGUCAGUGAAACUGGAGUUCUCGGAGGCCAAUGUGUGGGUGUCUGCGAGUCGUGAAUCAUUAGUGCUGAUGUGUCCGGACACUGUCAACACGGACAGCAUUUCGAUUCUGGAGGGGACCAACAUCCGGCUGACAAGGAGGCAUAUGGGGGCCUGCAAGGAGGAGCUGUUGUUUGCGCGGGAUUUGGACAGAUCGCGCCAUGGGGGUGAAGAGAGAAGACGCACAUGGAGAGAUGCUGUGAGCUGGCUAGCGGAGCAGACCCCGAGCGGCGGCUUGGGACCCGGCGGAGUCCGGAGGGCAUCAACUGGAGGAAAGGAUACCUGAUUCAUGAGCUCCAGCGAAUUACUUGUGCACAGAACUGGUAGUUACUGACUCGGCGCCUUUAUUGUAUUUGUUUCUACUAACCCAUCACCAAAAAAUACUUAGAAGUGUAAUCAUUUAAUCGCAUAUGGUGUACUGUCUGUUAUUUGGCAGUGUGGGGUACAUCACACAGCAUCCACAUAAAUUGAUUACCCAGAUUGGCGGGGCUGAAGGCUGCUCCCCCUAGAUGAAAGUGAGCUGAGCGAGCCAGAGGCUUGCCAGGAGGUUACAUACAAGAUAUGCUGCCUUUUGUUCAUUCUUGCAAACUUUAUUUCACAAUAAGUAAAGUACUUACGGUACUAGAGCCUAGGUUCCAGGUUAAGAUCCAGAGGAGACAGAAGGCAAGACAAAUUUUACAACAAAAAUAGUCAUAAUUCUUCUGGGUUUUAGACUCAUAACAUAUGGAGCAUAAACUACUAUGAAAUAGUUGUGAUGAAUGGUUUCCAAUUCAAAGUAAUAGAAUCUACAGGUAGAAGGGCUGACAACAUCAGUAAUAUAAGUAUGUGUUUAGGCCCUCAUGCUGCAGUCUUUAUCAUUUUUAUAUCAGAACCAAACAUAGAAAUAAUGGGAUUUCUGAGGUACUAUUUUGAAGAGAUAAAUAAUGAAUGAAGUCUUGUCUUCAUUUAUUUAAAAGGCCAGUCCACAUCCUAAGCAAAGAUGCUAUCAUGCAUGGAGAAGUGAGGUGUUUCAUGUUCCAAGUAAACAAUAUCACUUCCCGGGGUGACGUUUUGGCAAUCUCUAGCCUGACUUGAACUCCCUUUACAUAUUGUUGCAUGGCAAAAGUCUGACCUUGAAUUGAAUUUGGAUAGAAGUUGGAGGCGGAGUUAAGAUGGCGCUAAACAGCAACUCCUUUGCUUGCAUCUUUGGAAACAGCUCUAUUUCCAUCUUUAUUAUUUUCAUUUUUCCUCUUCAAGGUUCCUUUGAAAACCCUGACCUUGUUGUUACACGCAGACUUCGGUUCUUUGCAGGAAUGGGACCCAUUCUCAGGGUUUCAGGACCGGCCGUUGUUGUUCAGCCUGAGAGUCGAGCUCAAAUUCAAAAGCCUAAGAUCUCGGGGCUCUGGAGAUGGGCGGUGUCAUGACAAGAGACUUGUGUGUCAUCAGUGAGGCAGGAAAAUCUUUCGCUGUAUGCCCGAAGGCCUGAGAUCUUAGCAAUCUUUGGGCACAAAGCUCAUAAAAAGCAAUGAAACAGACUUUUUAACAUCAUAAACCAGCCGGUUGUUGUUAUGUCUCCCGCUCACUGUGAAAAUGAGGGACACCUCCCUCUCCCUUAUUAUGGAGAGAGAGAACCUGUGGUUUGUCAAAUACCAGAUGAAAUGUGAUAGUCUUUGGGGUAACUGCAAGGUCUGUGUCUUUGCUAUGGCCUAGCUGACGCUUGUGCUCGGUAACG